Molecule: ribosomal RNA, 429 nt
Filed under: Pseudomonadota bacterium
Lineage: Bacteria; Pseudomonadati; Pseudomonadota
Description: Proteobacteria bacterium partial 16S ribosomal RNA
Rfam family: Bacterial small subunit ribosomal RNA
Source: RNAcentral
UGGGGAAUAUUGGACAAUGGGCGAAAGCCUGAUCCAGCCAUGCCGCGUGUGUGAAGAAGGUCUUCGGAUUGUAAAGCACUUUAAGUUGGGAGGAAGGGCAGUAAGCGAAUACCUUGCUGUUUUGACGUUACCGACAGAAUAAGCACCGGCUAACUCUGUGCCAGCAGCCGCGGUAAUACAGAGGGUGCAAGCGUUAAUCGGAAUUACUGGGCGUAAAGCGCGCGUAGGUGGUUCGUUAAGUUGAAUGUGAAAGCCCCGGGCUCAACCUGGGAACUGCAUCCAAAACGGGCGAGCUAGAGUAGGGCAGAGGGUGGUGGAAUUUCCUGUGUAGCGGUGAAAUGCGUAGCUAUAGGAAGGAACACCAGUGGCGAAGGCGACCACCUGGGCUCAUACUGUCACUGAGGUGCGAAAGCGUGGGGAGCAAACAGG